Molecule: transfer RNA, 64 nt
Filed under: Typhoptera quadrituberculata
Lineage: Eukaryota; Metazoa; Arthropoda; Insecta; Orthoptera; Tettigoniidae
Description: tRNA-Tyr
Source: RNAcentral
GGUAGGGUGGCUGACUAUAGGCGGUAAAUUGUAAAUUUAUUUAUGAGAAAUAUCUCUUCUAUCA